Manacus vitellinus (golden-collared manakin) is the source of this 74-nucleotide non-coding RNA. The record is from Rfam. NCBI's taxonomy places the organism in Eukaryota, Metazoa, Chordata, Aves, Passeriformes, Pipridae.
ACCCCAUUAGCUCAGUUGGUCAGAGUAUGGUGCUGAUAACACCAAAGUUGUGGGUUUGAUCCCUGUAUGGGCCA